AAGCAAAUUUAUAGCCUAUAUAAAUUUAAGUUAAUGAGACAAGGUGUGAUGGUAAGAUGAGGAGGUAGAUAUGGUUUAUAUCAACCUAAUCUUUGACAGUUUGGUCAAAGAUCUUGACAGAUAGGUCAAAGAUCAUUUUCUGCCAGCUAGCACACAUUCACGUGAACAAACCGUGAAACUAUACUGUGAACCAAUUGAAAACCUUGUAUGACUCUGUUCUGUGCUUUGACCAAUCACAGGGCAUAACACAGCCCAUCCUAAUUGGCACAUAACAUGCACGAGUUUAUGCAAAAUAACGUAAUUUACUCUGAGAUGUCGACAGAGUAACAUUAUCGAAAGAUUUUCAAAAUAUAACUCUACCGCGGGCAAGCACUUUUUUACUCUUCUGGUGGACAAAGGAAUACGUUGGCUCAAGUACCGAUAUGUGAUUCAGGGAGACGUAGUUUAUUCAAACAUAACUCUGCCGCGGGCAAGGACUUGUACUCGUCUGGUGGACAAAAGAAUACGUUGGCUGAAGUAUCGAUGUACUAUCCAGUGAGACGCAGUUUAUCCAAUAUAACUCUACC
Paramuricea clavata is the source of this 566-nucleotide non-coding RNA. NCBI's taxonomy places the organism in Eukaryota, Metazoa, Cnidaria, Anthozoa, Malacalcyonacea, Plexauridae. The record is from the annotation of a GenBank genome assembly.